Long non-coding RNA from Zophobas morio, 238 nucleotides. RefSeq lists it as uncharacterized. The transcript has 3 exons. The record is from RefSeq and is a predicted model, not a curated record. NCBI's taxonomy places the organism in Eukaryota, Metazoa, Arthropoda, Insecta, Coleoptera, Tenebrionidae.
AAAAAUAAAUGAAGGGGAAAGUAGUGAGCUUUGAUGAGCGCCCACCGUACGAUUUUUAACAACCAGACCUCAUUGAGGAGUGAGUGUACUAUCGCAACCUUUCUUGAAGACUUUUGUAGCUCCCUCGCAAGACUAAAACUAUAAAGCUGCGCCACUGACCGGCUUAAAUCACGCUCUUACAAAAUCUGCGCCUACAAGCCAAGCCUACAAAAAGCAAAAGUACUUUCGAGAUCCUGCA